This 2058-nucleotide long non-coding RNA is filed under the name Homo sapiens (human). Its description in RNAcentral is "HSALNT0350870". The record is from RNAcentral. Lineage: Eukaryota; Metazoa; Chordata; Mammalia; Primates; Hominidae.
CACGUGGCUUUGUUUCUCUUGCACCUUCUGCCAUGGUUGUGUGGCCUUCCCAGCCAUGUGGAACUGUGAGUCCAUUAAGCCUCUUUUUCUUUAUAAAUUACCCAGUCUCAGAUAUGUCUUUAUAGCACCAUGAGAACAAACUAAUAUAUCACGUAGCUAGAUUCUGGCCAUUGGGAGAUAAGCAGAACCGCUGUAUGAAAUUUCCAGGGAAGCCUUCUAAAUGGAGCUGACUCAACUGAAAACUGUGAAACCUACAGGUUGCAGAAGAAAAUGGCUGGUGGAAAUGCAGCAGGAAGAAUAACAUGGUUCUGAAACCAGGCUGUCCUGGUUGACGUUUCCUGCCCAUAAGGCCAUCGAAAGGUGGGCAUCUCCUCACGUGGCUGCUGCUAGUGACGGACCUAGUAUGGCCCUGGGAGUUAAAGCGGUGCUGUGGCCUCUGCAGUCCUCAGCACUCCUUCUGGCACUACAGGCAUGCUGUGUUUACAGCAGAGAUGGAGAGGUUUUCUGCCCUAUCUCCACCCUGCCCAGCCCCUAGCUCUGGGCUUUAGUUUGUUAUCUGGGUACCAGAGAGCAUAGCUUGAGCCCCUGCGUCUCACAGAGUCCCUUAUGACAACAGCCUCCUCAGACUCUGCAAACAACCUCUCUCUCCACAGGGCUCAGAUGAGAAUCCAGGGAAACCAACUUCUUAAAAAUAGAUGCCAGUAGGCUGCCUACCCUGCCAAGUCAUUGGACAUUUCCAGACAUGCCUGAUUCCCAGCAGAGAACACAAAUUAGGCUCUCGAAUCCCUGCUACAUUACUAAACGUGCAUAGCACGCCCUAAUGCUUUCCCCUGAAUCAACUCUGUUCGGUAGGUAGGACAGAUGAUAGUAUUAUAGUUUCCAUCUUUCAUACAGAGAAAUUAAUUCUUAGUGAGAAAAAGCUAGAAGCCUGAAGUGAGAUAAUAAUUAAGAUUCUGAUUGAUCACAUGAAUGGAGGGCUUUGAAUAGCAAAUCUGGCACUCUCCUGGGGUACUUCACGGUAACAGGUCACCAAGCUUGGCCCAGAUGCUCUAGACAGAGGCAUUUUCCUCUCUGUGCUCAUGGCAUGUUGGUUUGUUGCAGAGUUUGCUGUAUUUUGUGACACCACUUUAAACGUCAGUCUUCUCCACUAAACAUCUCUCAUGCCAGCAAAGUGCCUGGCAUGGAGAAGGGACCUGAUAAACAUUUAUCGGUGGUAUGAAUAUGAAUUUUUAAAAAAAAUCUCUUAAUGUUUCUCUAAUGAAGGUGGAAUCCUCCCACCCCAGAGAACAUUUGGAAGUGGAGGAGCAUUUUUCGUUGUCACAAUACCAAGGAGUGAUGCUCCAAGCCUUUUAUAACCGGGGCCAGGGAUACGGGAUAUCUUGCAAUCUGUCAGACAGUCCUGCACAAAGAAGUGCUCUGUCCAAAAUGCCAAUCGCUCCUCCUUUGAGAAUAACUACAAGGAAGUCCAAAUGUUAGGAAAGUCCCAAGCACUCCUAAGCCUUCGAGUCUAGCCUAGGAAUAACUUAGCUAUCUGUGACCUUGCUAUUUGAGUUUUGAGACAAAAUAGGGGUUAUGCUAUAUACCCACCUCAUGCUAUGGUUUAAUGAGAACAUAUGUAAGAGGCCUAACAGAGUGGUUGCAUGUGGCAGGAAGACAAGUGAUUUGAGCUCCUUUUCCCCUUACUUCAGGUAAUAGGAACAAUCAUUUGUCUAUGUAUCAGUUUGGCCUAUGGUUUAAUUCAACUGAAAGAUAUUUUGAAAGCAGGCCUAGUGUUCUACGAUCUGCCCUUGGAAAUAUAAAAAGUAGUAUGGUAGUAUAUUUCCCAAUUGUUAUGAGGAUUCGAGUUUCUAAAGAUCAGUGCCUGGCACUGAGUAGUCUCUUUAUAAAUAGUUGACUUGAUGAUAGGUGGCAGAAAUCGAAGAAAAGCAGUGCUCUUGCUUAAAUAUUAAGGUAGCAUAAAAUCAAAUCAUAUUCUCCCUCUUUAGCAAAAUUGAGUGAGAUUUCUUUAGUAAGUUCUGCUUAUCCACUAUUUCCUGCAAAUUAAACAGACUUCCCACA